GGAAAAUGCCAAGAUUGUUCAUGCUCACUGAAUACUUUUGUGUUACCUCCCAAAUUAACCCCUAUUCUUAUAUAGUGUACUGCUUUUCACCAGCCUCCUCUUUGGGCUCUUGUCAAAAAGUAGUGCACUGUAUAGAGUGUAACUUGGGAUUCUGCCUGUGUGGGUGGGUUAAGGUCAUGUAGCAUCAAACAUGAAGGAUCACUGAAUCGUAUUGACCAGAGGAUCACUGAGUCGUAUUGACCAGAGGAUCACUGAGUUGUAUUGACCAGAGGAUCACUGAGUUGUAUUGACCAGAGGAUCACUGAGUCGUAUUGACCAGAGGAUCACUGAGUCGUAUUGAUCAGAGGAUCACUGAGUCGUAUUGAUCAGAGGAUCACUGAGUUGUAUUGAUCAGAGGAUCACUGAGUUGUAUUGAUCAGAGGAUCACUGAGUUGUAUUGAUCAGAGGAUCACUGAGUCUAUUGACCAGAGGAUCACUGAGUUGUAUUGACCAGAGGAUCACUGAGUUGUAUUGACCAGAGGAUCACUGAGUUGUAUUGACCAGAGGAUCACUGAGUCGUAUUGAUCAGAGGAUCACUGAGUCGUAUUGACCAGAGGAUCACCGAGUCGUAUUGACCAGAGGAUCACCGAGUCGUAUUGACCAGAGGAUCACCGAGUCGUAUUGACCAGAGGAUCACCGAGUCGUAUUGACCAGAGGAUCACCGAGUCGUAUUGACCAGAGGAUCACCGAGUCGUAUUGACCAGAGGAUCACUGAGUCGUAGUAGUUAUUACCUGAAGACUGUAUGACGGUUUGCGUCCCAAAUGGCACCUAAUUCCCUUCAUAGUGCACUAUUUUGGACCCGUGUCCAUAGGGCUCUGGUCAAAAAGGUAAAUUUAAAAAAUAAAAAAAACAUUUAAAAAGUAGUGCACUAUGUAGGGAAUAGGGUGCUAUUUGGGUUAAAAGUAGUGCACUAUAUAGGGAAUAGGGUACCAUUUGGGUUAAAAGUAGUGCACUAUAUAGGGAAUAGGGUACCAUUUGGUUUAAAAGUAGUGCACUAUAUAGGGAAUAGGGUACCAUUUGGGUUAAAAGUAGUGCACUAUAUAGGGAAUAGGGUGCCAUUUAAUUUGGGUCUCAGUCUCGUCUGCCUUCAUCUCUGCUGUGGUUUCGUGGUUGUGUUUUCUUUUCAGGCAUUGUCUAACCUCGUCCCCCGUCUGAGGGGGUUUAACAGUGUCAGGUGCACAAGAUGUUAUGUUGUAAUUACC
Long non-coding RNA from Oncorhynchus tshawytscha (Chinook salmon), 1242 nucleotides. Lineage: Eukaryota; Metazoa; Chordata; Actinopteri; Salmoniformes; Salmonidae. The record is from Ensembl.